Molecule: ribosomal RNA, 435 nt
Filed under: uncultured bacterium
Lineage: Bacteria
Description: partial 16S ribosomal RNA
Rfam family: Bacterial small subunit ribosomal RNA
Source: RNAcentral
AGCGAACGCUGGCGGCAGGCCUAACACAUGCAAGUCGAGCGGGCACUUUCGGGUGUCAGCGGCGGACGGGUGAGUAACGCGUGGGAACGUGCCCUUUGGUUCGGUAUCUCUCAGGGAAACUUGACCUAAUACCGGCUACGCCAUUUUGGGGAAAGGCUUGCUGCCGCAGGAUCGACUAGUGUCAGAUUAUCUUGUUGGUGCGUUAACGGCUCACCAAGGCGCGGAACAGUAGCUGGUCUGAGAGGAUGAUCAGCCACACUGGUACGUAGACACGGCCCAGACUCCUACGGGAUGCAGCAGUGGGGGAUGUUGGACAGUGGGCGCAAGCCUGAUCGAGCCAUGCCGCGAGAGUGAUGAAGGUAUUAAGGUUGUAAAGCUCUUUUAACCGGGACGAUAAUGACGGUACCGGAGGAGUAAGCCCCGGCUAACUUCGUG